CACCGGUGACAGGUGGUGCAUGGUUGUCGUCAGCUCGUGUCGUGAGAUGUUGGGUUAAGUCCCGCAACGAGCGCAACCCUUACUGUUAGUUGCUACGCAAGAGCACUCUAGCAGGACCGCCGUUGACAAAACGGAGGAAGGUGGGGAUGAUGUCAAAUCAUCAUGCCCCUUAUGACCUGGGCCUCACACGUACUACAAUGGCCGUUAACAGAGGGAAGCAAGACCGCGAGGUGGAGCAAAACCCCAAAAACGGUCUCAGUUCGGAUCGUAGGCUGCAACCCGCCUGCGUGAAGUUGGAAUUGCUAGUAAUCGCGGAUCAGCAUGCCGCGGUGAAUACGUUCCCGGGCCUUGUACACACCGCCCGUCACACCAUGGGAGCCGGUAAUACCCGAAGUCAGUAGCCUAACCGCAAGGGGGGCGCUGCCGAAGGUAGGAUUGGCGACUGGGGUGAAGUCGUAACAAGGUAGCCGUAUCGGAAGGUGCGGCUGGAUCACCUC
This 497-nucleotide ribosomal RNA is filed under the name uncultured bacterium. RNAcentral's name for it is "bacterial SSU rRNA". It matches the Rfam family "Bacterial small subunit ribosomal RNA", at positions 1026 to 1529 of the family's 1533-position model. The record is from RNAcentral.